This 458-nucleotide ribosomal RNA is filed under the name uncultured bacterium. RNAcentral describes it as "partial 16S ribosomal RNA". It matches the Rfam family "Bacterial small subunit ribosomal RNA", at positions 338 to 795 of the family's 1533-position model. The record is from RNAcentral.
CCUACGGGAGGCAGCAGUGGGGAAUAUUGCACAAUGGGGGAAACCCUGAUGCAGCGACGCCGCGUGAGUGAAGAAGUAAUUCGUUACGUAAAGCUCUAUCAGCAGGGAAGAAACACUGACCUUACGGUAAGCAGACGGUACCUGAGUAAGAAGCACCGGCUAACUACGUGCCAGCAGCCGGGGGACGACGUAGGGGGCAAGCGUUAUCCGGAUGUACUGGGUGGAAAGGGAGCGUAGACGGUGCGACAAGUCUGGAGUGAAAUGCCGCAGCUUAACUGCGGAACUGGUUUGGAAACUGGCGAACUAGAGUGCGGGAGGGGUAAGCAGAAUGCCUAGUGUAGCGGUGAAAUGCGUAGAUAUUAGGAGGAACACCGGUGGCGAAGGCGGCUUACUGGACCGUAACUGACGUUGAGGCGCGAAAGCGUGGGGAGCAAACAGGAUUAGAUACCCUAGUAGUC